UUGAAAGGGAAACGAUUGAAGUCAGUCGUGCUGGCGCGAAAUCAACCUUCUCGUCUUGAGAUCACAUGGCGUGGCGAGCCUCAAAACCGUCACGAAGUGUGAACUCUUGGUGAAAUGGAGCACUUUCGUGUCCGCUGGUUAACAUCAAUUUCGAACGUCAUGAAAAGGCUGGAGGGAUGUGGCUCCUUCGGGAGUGUUAUAACCUUUAGCGGAAUGUGGUGUUCGGGAUUGAGGAUUGCAACGAAUACCUUUAGGGCUGUUCCACCUGGCUUCUCUUUGGUAUCCUGGUGACGACAGCUUGCUGACGUCGUUAGGAUUCGCCUUUGAACAGGCUAGAGUGUGAGCAGAUUCGUUAAGGAUGUUGACGUA
RNAcentral lists this ribosomal RNA (369 nucleotides) under uncultured Glomeromycotina. Its description in RNAcentral is "LSU rRNA". Lineage: Eukaryota; Fungi; Glomeromycota. The record is from RNAcentral.